AUGAACUGAUAAAUUGAUUAGUCAAAUGAUAGGAUAACGCCUUGAAGGGCUAACACUAAUACUCCGAAUGGCUAUCAUAUGUUAAGAUGUGGGGUCAUAAGCUCGGUGAAGUCAGCCAGGAUUGUACCCUAAGGCUCUAUAUGAUUCGCUAUGUCGAUUGACUAGGUUCUACUGGACUGAACCUUACUUAAAGAAUCUAUAGAGAAACAGGAAAUGGGGCUAGAGGUAGUCAAGUACAAAGAAUAGGUUGGGUGUCUAUAAA
This 262-nucleotide non-coding RNA is filed under the name Clostridioides difficile. The record is from RNAcentral. Lineage: Bacteria; Bacillati; Bacillota; Clostridia; Peptostreptococcales; Peptostreptococcaceae.